This is a long non-coding RNA of Teleopsis dalmanni, 616 nucleotides long. RefSeq lists it as uncharacterized. NCBI's taxonomy places the organism in Eukaryota, Metazoa, Arthropoda, Insecta, Diptera, Diopsidae. The record is from RefSeq and is a predicted model, not a curated record. The transcript has 3 exons.
UCAAUUUCAGAUCACAUCGAGGUAUUACAGUAGCGUGCAAGCGGAAUGGGUUUUGAGCUCCGUUGGAAUCAAUCUUGUGGGCCAGCAGUGAUGAGUAGUGCUGUUCAUAUUCAAAUUUUUUAAAAAACGAAGUUCUCCGAUUAUUCGAAUAAUCGGAUUUCAACGAAGUCUUUGAAGUUGAAAAUAAAAUCGGAUUUUUUGUAAAUCUGAAGUCUUCGAAUAUCCGGAUUUGCGGUUUUUAUUUGCAGUGAAAUUAUUCGAAGACUUCGUAAAGUAAGAGCACACUUUGGUAUUUUAUGCAGAAAAUUAUAUGCGUGAUGAGUCGAGGUAACGCAUGAGACGUGCAUAGGAGCAUUCCAUAUUACCCGUAUUUAUACGGUGCCAUAAAGACGCAUAAGCCCGACAAGCUCAUCCGACCAAUUGGCUCACCUCUCCACACAAGUGGAUAAUGUGAAUCAUCUCACCAAUAAUUUAUUGCAGCUUCUACCAUGUCAAGGGUAUGUUCUGAUGACUACGGAUAAAAGGAUAUGUAUCCCCGGAAUAGCAUUAUCAGAUUGUGGUCAUGUUUACAAAAUUUACUAGUAGAGCCGAGAUUCCAUUAAAUGUCAUUAAAAAU